UCAAAAUAUUUUGUCAAUUUUAUUUGUGUAUAAAUUAUUAAAUAAAAACAUUUCCCAAUAGCUUUAAAAAAAACAAACAAAAAACAUGAAUUUAAUAAAACAAAGGCAACAUCAAAAAUAAAAACCAACCUAGAACCAAAUAUUAGUUCCUAGUACAAAGUCUAGUAUGGAUAAACUGAUGGUCACUUACUUCUACCAUUUGUUGAUUUUUUAACAAGGGACAAAAAAAUAAAACAUUAAGAGCAUUAUUACUAGAUCAAUAAUAUCUGCAUCAGUGGAUGAGUCUGUCUGAUUCAAGAGUAAUUCUAGCUGACCAGUGGUCAGUAGUUACAAUGGUUGGGAUAUUUAUUGAACUGUUUAUCAGUAUAAAGUUUAACACAUGCAUUACAGAAGAUAAUAAUAUCAAUUCACAUUUGAUCAGUGCCCACUUCAAUGGAAUAACCCUGACCAGUGGCAGAAUGUAUAAGUAAUCAACCUAAAGUAAAAAAUUUACUUUCUAAAAGAUUAUUUCAACUUCAGAUGACCAGAGGCUCAUGACCAGAGGCCAGAUGACCAGAGGCCAGAUGACCAGAGGCCAGG
Molecule: non-coding RNA, 579 nt
Organism: Biomphalaria pfeifferi
Lineage: Eukaryota; Metazoa; Mollusca; Gastropoda; Planorbidae
Source: the annotation of a GenBank genome assembly